RNAcentral lists this ribosomal RNA (397 nucleotides) under Bacillus tropicus. RNAcentral's name for it is "bacterial SSU rRNA". It matches the Rfam family "Bacterial small subunit ribosomal RNA", at positions 80 to 468 of the family's 1533-position model. The record is from RNAcentral. Lineage: Bacteria; Bacillati; Bacillota; Bacilli; Caryophanales; Bacillaceae.
UUGCUCUUAUGAAGUUAGCGGCGGACGGGUGAGUAACACGUGGGUAACCUGCCCAUAAAACUGGGAUAACUCCGGGAAAGGGGGGCUAAUACCGGAUAACAUUUUGAACCGCAUGGUUCGAAAUUGAAGGGCGGCUUCGGCUGUCACUUAUGGAUGGACCCGCGUCGCAUUAGCUAGUUGGUGAGGUAACGGCUCACCAGGGCAACUAUGCAUACCCGACCUGAGAGGGUGAUCGGCCACAGUGGGACUGACACACGGCCCACACUCCUACGGGAGGCAGCAGUAGGGAAUCUUCCGCAGUGGAAGAAAGUCUGACGGAGCAACCCCGCGUGAGUGAUGAAGGCUUUCGGGUCGUAAAACUCUGUUGUUAGGGAAGAACAAGUGCUAGUUGAAUAAG